GCUCUGGUAGCUUAAUGAAAAGAGCGUGGCGCUGAAGAUGCUAAGGAGGGAGGAUAUCCCCCAGGGCA
RNAcentral lists this transfer RNA (68 nucleotides) under Haliotis discus hannai (Japanese disc abalone). Its description in RNAcentral is "tRNA-Phe". It matches the Rfam family "tRNA". Rfam says of the family: Transfer RNA (tRNA) molecules are approximately 80 nucleotides in length. Their secondary structure includes four short double-helical elements and three loops (D, anti-codon, and T loops). Lineage: Eukaryota; Metazoa; Mollusca; Gastropoda; Lepetellida; Haliotidae. The record is from RNAcentral. RNAcentral also lists the same sequence under 1 other name.